Misgurnus anguillicaudatus (oriental weatherfish) is the source of this 1020-nucleotide long non-coding RNA. RefSeq lists it as uncharacterized. The record is from RefSeq and is a predicted model, not a curated record. NCBI's taxonomy places the organism in Eukaryota, Metazoa, Chordata, Actinopteri, Cypriniformes, Cobitidae.
AGUACAGGAGUUCAUAGCUGGGCAUUGAGCCAAAGGUGUCUAAUACAAAGUGCACAGGCGACACAAGAGAGACCUCUGAGCAGCUGAGCUGAUCCAAAAUCCUUAAAGAGCUGCCUGUAAUAGAGCUGUGAAAAAGUCAAGUUUAAAAGAGCAUCAAUUCUCCCAGGAAGAUCUGUAGUUGGAUGGGACCCUGAACGGUAAAUCUGCUCUGUGCUUCAGAUGAUGUAUGGAGAAGACACGAGGUGUGGCGCAAACAGAAGCACUGAUUUACCACCAGGAGUCAAAAAGGCACCCAUGGUACUCAGAAUCUGUCAACAAAUCACCUCCUUACAUAUAUUGGUACCACACCGGCACUAAUCCAAACCCUAGUGAUCUGCCUUGCUGUCUACUACAAGUCAGCUUCUUUUUAAAGCAUCAUAACUGAAAUGGAAACUCAUACGUAUGAUUUGAAACACUCCACAUAGGCAGCAACUCUGUGUGAUUCAAAUAACAUAGAUUUGUUUACACUCACAGCCCCUUUCGCCUUCAGAACUGCCUUUAUUCUACGUGGCAUUGAUUCAACAAGGUGCUGAAAGCAUUCUUUAGAAAUGUUGGCCCAUAUUGAUAGGAUAGCAUCUUGCAGUUGAUGGAGAUUUGUGGGAUGCACAUCCAGGGCAUGAAGCUCCCAUUCCACCACAUGCCAAAGAUGCUCUAUUGGGUUGAGAUCUGGUGACUGUGGGGGCCAUUUUAGUACAGUGAACUCAUUGUCAUGUUUAAGAAACCAAUUUGAAAUGAUUCGAGCUUUGUGACAUGGUGCAUUAUCCUGCUGGAGGUAGCCAUCAGAGGAUGGGUACAUGGUGGUCAUAAAGGGAUGGACAUGGUCAGAAACAAUGCUCAGGUAGGCCGUGGCAUUUAAACGAUGCCCAAUUGGCACAAGGUGCCUAAAGUGUGCCAAGAAAAUAUCCCCCACAUCAUUACACCACCACCAGCAGCAGCCUGCAGAGUGGUAACAAGGCAUGAUGGAUCCAUGUUCUUAUUCUG